GUAGGGGGCAAGCGUUAUCCGGAUNUACUGGGUGUAAAGGGAGCGUAGACGGUGUGGCAAGUCUGAUGUGAAAGGCAUGGGCUCAACCCGUACUGGCUCUGGAAACUGAUCAGCUAGAGAACAGAAGAGGACGGCGGAACUCCAUGUGUAGCGGUAAAAUGCGUAGAUAUAUGGAAGAACACCGGUGGCGAAGGCGGCCGUCUGGUCUGAUUCUGACACUGAAGCACGAAAGCGUGGGGAGCAAAUAGGAUUAGAUACCCUAGUAGUCCACGCCGUAAACGAUGAGAACUAGGUGUUGGGGGAAUAACUCAGUGCCGCAGUUAACGCAGUAAGUUCUCCGCCUGGGGAGU
Molecule: ribosomal RNA, 350 nt
Filed under: uncultured bacterium
Lineage: Bacteria
Description: bacterial SSU rRNA
Rfam family: Bacterial small subunit ribosomal RNA
Source: RNAcentral